This is a long non-coding RNA of Oreochromis niloticus (Nile tilapia), 3543 nucleotides long. The record is from Ensembl. Lineage: Eukaryota; Metazoa; Chordata; Actinopteri; Cichliformes; Cichlidae.
GGUUGAUAGUUUUAAUCACAUCCUCAUUUUGGGUCUUAUUUCCUCCUAUCAGCGAUAAGCGAUAAGCUGAGGGAGACACAUGAGGAGAGAGGAGUCGAGCUGCUUCAUAAAGUGCUUUGUUACACUGUACUCUGUAUGUAAUGAUCUCAGAUGUUGGAUGAUCAUAACAGUGUCUAUGGUUACUUUAAUAUUCAGGACUGUUAAAUAUAAUUCACACCAGUGCAACAAGAACGUGUCGUAUUUCUUUUGUUUGCACACAGAAAGUUUGAUCACAGUUUAAUGAGAAUUCCUUCACACAGAGGACCCAAGGAAGCAGGAAACAAAGGAAGAAAAGAAAAAAGCGUGAUGCAGAGGGGAGGAGUGUGGAGGUGUGUGCUGUGUGUUUGGAGGAGGGACUCCUUCAGUUAGAGAAGUGAGGCGUCACAAGUUCCUGGUUUCCAGUGAAGAAGAAGAGAGGCAGCAGUAAACCAUCAGAGCCUCAUCAUGAAAGUCCAUCACACUCUGAUCUGCUUCUUCUUCCUUUCUCUGCAGGAUGGAAACGCUGAAGUCAACACCGACAAAAACAUUUCCUUUGGAGUCGUUGGAAGAAAUCUAACAGCUGAAUUCUCCUUUCCUGCUGGAACAUGGAAAAUGUUGUGCAGAGGAGAAUGUAAAGGAGGAAACAUUCUUAUUAAUACAACAGAUGAGAAGCAUCAAAGUUACAGAUACAGCACUGGAUAUGUAAUUGUAGAAAGUGCUCCUCAUUUCUCUGUGAGCAUCACACAGCUGAUCAUGUCUGAUGCUGGACAGUACAGCUGUGGUGUGGGUGAAUCUCCAUCAUCAGUUUCAUACAGACAGUUUGAAGUUGUUGUUGCUGAAGCACUGCUGGAUGGAGACGAUCCUGCUCAGCUGAAACACUUCUAUAAAGAAACUGGAAGCUCUCUCACAGUCGGAUGUUACUUUAAACAGUCUGGAGGACAAAAGUUCUUCUGCAGGGGAGAAUGUGGAGAGGGCGAGGUUCUUCUUCAAACAGAUGAUGAAGAUGCUUCCAAAGACAGAUACAGAAUUGGAUUUAGAGGAACUUCAGAGGAGACAUAUGGAGGAGGAGGAAUUGUGUAUGUGACAAUCACACAGCUGACUGAGUCUGACUCAGGACAGUACAGAUGUUCUCUGAAUCCAUCUUCUGGUCAAGCUUCAUUCAGAGUCUUUGAGAUCAACGUCACAGAUGCAGUCGUCCAAUCAGCCUUCUCACCUUCACUCACCUCCAGUGUAACCACGGAGCAGCCUGAGAAAACAUCUGAAGGUGUUUCGCUGCCUGUGGGUCUGACUGUGGCUGUCAUCAUCAUCAUCAUCAUCAUCCUGUUAUCAGUGUCUGUGCUGAUAUUCUGCAAGAAAAGAUCUGCAAAACCAAAGAAUCCUCGUGUGGAAACAGAGUACGCUGCUGUCACAGAGACCAACAACGCCGUGUAUGAGGAAAUCAGAGACGAGGGCGGAGAGAAAGCUGCUCCUGUGGAAACCAGUUCAGUUUAUGCUUUGGCCAAAUACAACAACGCGCCUGAAACCACCGAUGACUACAGCAUGAUCACUGCAGCCAUGCCUGAGCACAGCGAUGAAGACGACUCGAGCAAACUCACCAAAUCUGAGCUGAAUAGUUCAAAACCAGACGUGGCCUCUGCCAGCAGCACCUCCCCUCAGCCUCAGGGAGACGCAGGCUCUGACCCGAGCCAGUCUCUAGAAAAUCCACUGUAUUCUACUACAGACUAGCUUCUAUUCUGCUGAUGGCAUAUUUUCUCCUGCAGUGUUCAAAAUGAAGUCGUUCUCUCACAAAAUGUGAGAUUUUUUUAAUGCAACAAUGUGACAGUUUCAGGAAAACAGUUAAAUACAGGAGAGCUUUGACUUUCUGAUACACAAGCUGGGACGAUGGGAAGAAAUUCUGCUGUUGGCUAAAGUAACCAAACUAAAAACUAGGCUGAAGUUUCAUAUUUUACACGUUCAUGCUUUACACUCUCAUCCCUAAAGGAGUUUGUCAUUCUUUACACUUAGCCAGAAGUAAACCGUUAAGAGUACAGACUGUACAUUUUACUGAGCUAAAACCAAAAACUGUUUAUUAAUUUUAUAAUUAAAUGCUGAUUGUUUUUUACAGUGAAGUGGAGAGUGUUAUUGGCAGAAGUGUCCUUCAGUGCAUUCACAUGAGGUCAUAAUAAUGAUUUGUUGUGUGUUGCUUAACAACCAUGUUCACUAUUACGUUUCAUGCUAAUGUUCUUUAAAGCUAAUGUAUUUUUAAUUUAUUUUAAAUUGCUCUGCAGAGUAUCUGUCAAAUAAAUGUUCAACUCAUGGUUUUUGUUUUUGUUUUUUGUUUUUUGCAUGUAUAAAAUCUUCCUAUUUUAUAAAUAGUGUGAGAUUGUAAACAUCUGUUUCAGGCAGCAGCAAAUACAGGAAGUCAGUAAGCUUGCAUAAGAUCUGUUCUUCACUGCCUCAGUAUGACCUGUGCUGUUAACUGAAAUUACCCUUGGAAACAUUUACAUAUGUGAUGAUUAAUGUCACCACUGUCAUGUUUUCAGUCUGAUUAGUAGUAGCUGAGAGAAGGACAGUAGGACAGAUAAGGACAGCAGAGCGCUGUAUGAGCAUCUGUGGGACAGAAACACUCCCUCAGCAAAGACCUUCAUCCUGUGAUGCAGACGCAGGCUGUGAGAGUCUGUGUUGGUAACCAGAGGCUUCACAGGUAUUUCAGGGGUUGUUCUGUCAGUUUGCUUAUGAAAGGUUACUGUGAGAGGCUUUGAGACGGGAGCAGCUGGAAGCUGGAUGAAUCUGCUUUGAUUCAGCCAUUGAUCAUUUUCAUUUCAUUUUAUUAGUUUCUCACUGUUUAAAUUAAAUAAAUUCAUACUCAAUACUUUUAGGGCAGUUUUGCAACCCCAGUUGCCAGAAAAGUUCAAAGUUGUGUAAAAAUUGAAUCAAAAAAUGAAUUUAACAAUCUGCAAAUAUUUCAUUCACAAUAGAACAGAAAAUAUAUCAAAUGUUUAAACUAAGAAAAGGUAAUUUUUAAGAAAAAAUAGAAAGAACAAAGAAUAAGACAGGAAAAGAAACCCAGGCCUGUUUCAGUAAGUUACUUAUUUUGCUACUGCAUUGAGUAUCACCCCACUGUUUAAAACUAAUGCUGUACAAUGUUUAAUUACAAUUUCUAGUUAAAUAAAUGAAACACUGGUGAAGAGUAAAGUCCCAGUAAUGAGAGCAACCACACCGACUCUACAGAUACUUAAUGAAAGAAACGACCACAGCUGAUCAGUAUUACUCAGUGCUGAAAGUCUCAGCAGUAAAUUGUUAGUGGGGAUCAGGCGUUAGCUCCUAAUCAGCACCUGUAAGCUGUCAGUACUGACUGGUCAGAAAAAGCUCAUUGAACAACUCCAGCAGCUGUUUGCAGAGCCAGCUGUUCUGGUGGAUAUAAGGAAAUGAGGAAAACAGGAGGAGCAGGUGAGGAUGAGGAGGAGCUGAUGCUCACUCUCGGAUUUGGUGGAUCAGCGGCUCGCCUUGCUUCCAAAAUGUUUAUCGACCUCUGACACACUGAGG